AUAAAUAUUUUAUUUUCUCCUAUAUAAUAAGUCAGUAUGGCUGCUCAAGCAGACAUGACACCGUCAACAUGUCUGCUUGAGAAAAAGGGUAUUUUCGUAAUUUUAAUAAAUUUUAACUCUCACCGUCUCAACUUCUCUUCUUUAAUCCAAUUAUAGAACCGCCUCACUGUGUUCCUUAUCCAUUUCCAUCGCUAAAUUUUUUUUUCUUCCCUCUUUGGCUUUUCUCCUUAUAAUUCCAUCGAGCAAAGAUUGAUGUUUCUGCCGGUUUGAAGUUUGUUUCUUGUCUGUGUUUCGCUGCUAUCAAAGGUAAUUGCAUCAUGAUUUUAUCUGUCGCUCUAAUUUUGCCUGGUUCUUACAAUAUAUAGCCGCUUGGCUAUCUUCCUUAUCCAAUUCUGCUGCUCAUUGUUUCCUGUUCGGCUUUUCGAUCGAUCAAAGAUUGGUGUUUCUGCGGAUUUGAAGUUCUUUCCUUCUUUGUGUUUUGCUGCUAUCACGGUAAUUGCAUCGUAAUUUUAUUUCAUCUUUCGUUGUUCCUUGUUCGGCUUUUCGAUCGAGCAAAGAUUGGUGCCGCUAACUCUUUCGUUGUUUGUUCUUCGAUUUUUCGAUCGAGUAAAGAUUGGUGCUUCUGCGGAUUUGAAGUUGUUUCCUUGUUUGUGUUUUGCUGCUAUCGAGGUAAUUGCAUCGUAAGUUUAUUUGAAAAUUUGCGAAAUUGCCUUUGUUGCUCUUUUCUUGCUCUGAAUUUGCCUUUCUUCUGCUAGAGAACAAAACCCACAAAGCUAAACUCUGUAGAAUCAACCAGAUCUGAUUAUAAUUCUUCCCGGAACAACCAAUUCAAUUACACACACAAAAAAAGGGUUUCGCAAAAAGGAAUGAGUGAAUAUGCAAUCUACUUACCUUGUGUUGAAUAAAUAAAGCCAAAAAAGGAUGAAUUUGUAGUGUUGGGGACCAAAUUUCAGCACUAUUAUAUUUUUAAGUAAGGACCAAUUUAGCGAUACCUUAUUUAGUGCUUCCUAUUCUGUUUUGUUUAGGUGCUCAUUCACAGUGCGAUUUUGUACAUAUUUUUAUAAUGAAAAUACAAACACACCACACACUCCUCCAAAGUGUUUUGUGCUGUUUGUUUUUGCAGCUUUGGCAAUGGGUACCACACAAGCUGAGUUGACCAGAACUGCUGGAAAGCCAAUUCAUUGCAAAAUAAACAUGCUGGAAAGCCAAUUCAUUGCAAAAUUAACAAUCUUUUUUGGUUUAUGUGGAAGUAGUUUUAGUUAGUGCAAAAAAUCACUUAGUUGUGAGUGACAUUACAGCUGCGGUGGCAAGAAAACCAGAACCUCUGGUGAUAGAGGAAGUGAUUGUGGCUCCCCCUCAAGUCCAUGAAGUUCGCCUAAAAAUCAUUUGUACUUCUCUCUUUCACAGGGACGUUACCUUCUGCAAGUUGAAAGACUUUCCUAGAUGCUUUGCAAGAAUAUUGGAACACGAGGUUUUUGGGUACUUUCAGUUUAUUCACCUGUCAAGCUCUUUUGUCGGUUGUAAAGGGUUAUUUUAGUAAAUGUUACUCCCUCCAUUUGGAUUUAAACUGUCAAGCUCUUUUGUCGGUUGUAAAGGGUUAUUUUAGUAAAUGUUACUCCCUCCAUUUGGAUUUAAG
This is a long non-coding RNA of Capsicum annuum, 1636 nucleotides long. RefSeq lists it as uncharacterized. The transcript has 2 exons. Lineage: Eukaryota; Viridiplantae; Streptophyta; Magnoliopsida; Solanales; Solanaceae. The record is from RefSeq and is a predicted model, not a curated record.